CCCUUAGAUGUUCUGGGCCGCACGCGCGCUACACUGAUGAAUUCAACGAGCACUAACCUGUGCCGAAAGGUUCGGGUAAUCUUGUGAAAUUUCAUCGUGAUGGGGAUUGAUUAUUGCAAUUUUUAAUCAUAAACGAGGAAUGCCUAGUAAGCGUGAGUCAUCAGCUCACGUUGAUUACGUCCCUGCCCUUUGUACACACCGCCCGUCGCUCCUACCGAUUGAAUGCGCCAGUGAAAAGUUCGGAUUGGAGAUAGGAGACGGCAACGUAUCCUAUUUCCGAGAAAAUCUUUAAACUUUCCCAUUUAGAGGAAGGAGAAGUCGUAACA
RNAcentral lists this ribosomal RNA (326 nucleotides) under uncultured eukaryote. RNAcentral's name for it is "partial 18S ribosomal RNA". It matches the Rfam family "Eukaryotic small subunit ribosomal RNA", at positions 1470 to 1796 of the family's 1831-position model. The record is from RNAcentral.